RNAcentral lists this ribosomal RNA (749 nucleotides) under Microbacterium sp. RNAcentral's name for it is "bacterial SSU rRNA". It matches the Rfam family "Bacterial small subunit ribosomal RNA", at positions 77 to 838 of the family's 1533-position model. The record is from RNAcentral. Lineage: Bacteria; Bacillati; Actinomycetota; Actinomycetes; Micrococcales; Microbacteriaceae.
AGCUUGCUGGGUGGAUCAGUGGCGAACGGGUGAGUAACACGUGAGCAACCUGCCCCUGACUCUGGGAUAAGCGCUGGAAACGGCGUCUAAUACUGGAUAUGUGACGUGACCGCAUGGUCUGCGUCUGGAAAGAAUUUCGGUUGGGGAUGGGCUCGCGGCCUAUCAGCUUGUUGGUGAGGUAAUGGCUCACCAAGGCGUCGACGGGUAGCCGGCCUGAGAGGGUGACCGGCCACACUGGGACUGAGACACGGCCCAGACUCCUACGGGAGGCAGCAGUGGGGAAUAUUGCACAAUGGGCGCAAGCCUGAUGCAGCAACGCCGCGUGAGGGAUGACGGCCUUCGGGUUGUAAACCUCUUUUAGCAGGGAAGAAGCGAAAGUGACGGUACCUGCAGAAAAAGCGCCGGCUAACUACGUGCCAGCAGCCGCGGUAAUACGUAGGGCGCAAGCGUUAUCCGGAAUUAUUGGGCGUAAAGAGCUCGUAGGCGGUUUGUCGCGUCUGCUGUGAAAUCCCGAGGCUCAACCUCGGGCCUGCAGUGGGUACGGGCAGACUAGAGUGCGGUAGGGGAGAUUGGAAUUCCUGGUGUAGCGGUGGAAUGCGCAGAUAUCAGGAGGAACACCGAUGGCGAAGGCAGAUCUCUGGGCCGUAACUGACGCUGAGGAGCGAAAGGGUGGGGAGCAAACAGGCUUAGAUACCCUGGUAGUCCACCCCGUAAACGUUGGGAACUAGUUGUGGGGUCCAUUCCACGGA